UCUAACGUGGAAAUCAAAGAGAACGUGACAGAGAAAGGGCUCAGGCCCGUAACGGUGGGAAAGGCAAGGGCAAGGAUGACGGCUUGACCCCAGAACAGCGUCGUGAAAGGGAUGCGAAGGCACUUCAAGAAAAGGCGGCAAAGAAGGCGGCUCAGGCAGGUGGGGGUGGUGAUGCUGGAGGUAAAAGCAACAAAAAAUAGGGAAACUUCCAUUUGAUCAGUCUCUUAAGUUUAGUUCUUGUAAUUUGACCCUUUUGUAGCAUCUUCUCUGAUGUCAUGUCUAAUGGUAAUCAACCAGUACUUUACUCUCCUUUUGAAUAAGAUUGUAAGUGCCAAAUUGCUCCAAUUGAUAUGUGAAAUGUGAUGGUUUUUUCCGUGUUA
This is a non-coding RNA of Sesamum indicum (sesame), 380 nucleotides long. The record is from RefSeq and is a predicted model, not a curated record. Lineage: Eukaryota; Viridiplantae; Streptophyta; Magnoliopsida; Lamiales; Pedaliaceae.